RNAcentral lists this long non-coding RNA (7466 nucleotides) under Sus scrofa (pig). Its description in RNAcentral is "lncRNA (ENSSSCG00030049555.1)". The record is from RNAcentral. Lineage: Eukaryota; Metazoa; Chordata; Mammalia; Artiodactyla; Suidae.
CCACAGCCGCAGCAUGCAAAAGUUCCCAGGGCCAAGGAUCGAACCCGCACCACUGCGGUGACCAAAACCACUGCAGUGACAACGCCACCCAGAGAUUCUCAACUCUCUUUGGGGUCUUGCUUUAAACUAAAAUGGUUUUCUGUUUAUAUUACCAAGAGUACAGUAAUAAUGCUAAGUAUCCCUACUUUUGAGGACCCACAAGGAGCCUUACAAUGUGCUAGGCACUUAAUCUCUUAUUACAUUGCAGCCAAGACAAAGACACUGAGGUGCAGAGAGAACAAGUAACUUAUUCAUGGUCACACAGGUAGUAAGCAAAACUGGGAUCCCGAACCAGUCUGUUCUAAUUCUAAAAUUGAUACGAGUUCUACUAAAGCCUGCUUGAAAGUCACUUCUGAAGUCAGGACUGAGCAGCAGAGGUGGGGCCCUGCUGAGGGGACGAGGUGGCUCCCUCUCCCCUGGGGGUUCUCUGGACUCCCCAGAGGUGAAGGCACCUCCUUCUCUCACCUGGGGGCUCACGUUCACUCCUGAACUUGAAGUCCCACCCAGUUCCUGUGUUUCUCUCCAUGGCACUUAGAGCUUCUUUGGAAGAAACAGCCCAUGCAGUGAGGGGAGAUCUGGGAGAAUAAGUGGCCAGGGGGAGGAAAUACGCUUUGAUUGUUUCCCCUGCAAAUAAUGACUUGCAUCUCUGGAUUCAUGUUCUGUAACAGCAAAUGAAAAAGAUCUGUUGCUCUAAAGAGCGGGUCACCUUGGAGUGAUCAGCAUGGCUGCCAAAAUAUAAUCCCUCCACUAACAACUAAAGGUAGCCCAGACAAGUUGGUACAGGAGAAGUUUGGCUGGUGUGCACGGCGGGAAAGGCCCUCACUUACAGCCCAGGAAGCUCAGAUGGAAAUAAAAUUGCUUGCUUUUCCUUCCACGUGUCUGACAGAUCCCCCUUCCCCCAGUUUCUACAGGCUGUAUUAUAAAGGUGUCAGACCCUGUCAGAAAUGUAAUGGCAGCCACACAUUAGCAAAUAAAUAAAAAAGAACAUUCUUUUGUCCUACCUUUGAAGUUUUGUUAAGUUACUCUGAAUAGUACCCCCCACCUCUGCCAAGUUCCCUGUUUCUUGCAUAAUGAGAUACUUUCUAAUUAGCAUAUCACAAAUAUUCCUGAUCUUCUUUACAAGUCCGGAUACAUUUUUAAAUGUUUCUUUUAAAGUACAUCAGGAUUUUUCACACUCUGGAAAGAAGCAGAAGAAUUAAAGCAAGCUGCUAAUUAACCCUGUCACUUUAGGCAAACUGCUUCACCUAUGAUGCCUCAGUUUCCUUUUCUGUAAAAAUGAAGAGGCUAGACCCAAUGGAAAGUCCCUCAUAAAACAUCGCGAUGAAUGUGAAACUCGAAUAAUUCCUUGUCUCCUUAUUCAAAAAAAAACUGGAACAAGUUCUUUGAGCUAAAAUUUCACAGUGAACUAAAUACAAAUUGGGUAUAGACAUCAAGAAAAAGGAUGCGAUUUUGAAAAUACAGAUAUUUAGGAGUUUGCUUGGUGGCUCAGCGGUAAUGAACCCAGCUCAUGUCCAUGAGGACACGGGUUCAAUCCCUGGCCUCGAUUGGUGGGUUAAGAAUCUGGCAUUGCCGUGAGCUAUGGUGCAGGUUGCAGACACGGCUCGGAUCCCGUGUUGCUGUGGCUGUAGUGUAGGCUGGCAGCAACAGCUCCAAUUGGACCCCUAGCCUGGGAAUUUCCAUAUGCUGCAGGUGAGGCCCUAAAAAUACAAAAAAAAAAAAAAGAUUUAUAAUUUUGCCUGAGUUUAAUGUAUUGACAAAUAUGUAAACACACACACACACACAUACACACACACAGACACACUCUCUCUCUCUCUAAUCUGCCUUUAUAUCAGUGAAUAAAACUGACAUGAACUAAUCCUAAUAGAAGAAAUACUGAGACAAUGAAAAUAAAAUCUUAGACAUCGUGAAGGCUUUUUAGUCUCUUGCCAGCCUAGAAAAAACAAAUCCAGGCAGUUCAAUAACAUAAUCUGGAUUGUCCAGUCACACUUGGGUUUCUGGUUUUGACUCGGAAUAUCAAAAUCAUAAAAACACAGAACUUGAUCUUAGUUUCGAUCAUGAUUUCCUGGGGAGCUAGGGCCAUGCUGGUUCUCUGUGCUUCACCAUUUAAUUAGCCUGAUCAAAACCAUCUGCUGGACGGAUUAAGGCUUCCUUGAUGAGGCCCUUCACCCCCUAGACCUGCCAUCUCUUUCUGGCCAGGGCCAUACCAACACCCACAAGCUGGCUCCCCACCUUCCUGCCAAGGACUGGAUACCGUGCCCCAUUUCCCAUGGCCCUCCCCCUGCCACCCCGUCCUCUUUGAUCACCAACAGCUCAACUUGGUAAGUGCCUGUUGCACUUCAAGAGCAGCUCUGAAGCCACUCCAUCAGAGCCCUCUGCCCCCAGCAGCGUGGUCCUGCCCUAUUGCAUCCGUGUGUUGACACAGCUGUCUCCGCUCUGACUGCGCAGGAGCUGAGGCUCGGGGAUGCCUUGUCACAUCUGCAGCCCCCGGAUCCUGCAAGGCAAUGAAGGGAAAGAGAGAAUGGACAGAGGGAGGAGCCAGGCACUAAAUGAGGUGCCAAGGAUACAUCAAUGAUCGUCCCUCCAUCAUCCCCGAGGCUCCACCUUCCUGAGAGAUGUACCAUAUAAAGUGUUCUUGUAUGAUAACCACCAAAAUCUGGUCUAAAUCAUCUUAUUCCUAAUGAGGAAAGGAAUAUACUGAAGCCUGAGAAAGUCUGAGAAAACUUCCUAUAUAAAGAGGAAGGGUGUGUGGGUGUGGGUGUGUGUGUACGCAGACAAUAGGAAGCCACUGAUGUUUUUUGCACAAAAGAACAGCAGGAAUGAAAAAAUGUUUUAAGAAGAUUAUCUAGCAGUGGUAUACAAAUGCACUGAAAUGGUGUACAGAUUAAAGUAAAAAUUAUUUCAAAUCAUUAUGCAGCCAUGAACAAUUAUUACACAUAAUUGCAUUUACAGAUGUGGGAGAGCGAACAUACAGAUGAAGUACAAAAGAAGCAGGCUACAAAACAAGGGAGAGGACAGAAUCAUCUUCUGUAAGAAAUUGUUCACAUUUUUACUUGUGGGAGUAUUUAGAUGUGUAGCUACCAGAGUAAAGUUUAGGAGAUUAAAUAUCAGAGCUGUAACAGGAAUGCUAUCUGAGUGGAGAAACGUGAUUUUUCUCUUCUUUCUGUCUCUUUGUUUAUAUCUGUAUUUUCUAAUUUUUAUUCCACCAUGAAUAUGAGCCACUUGGGUAAUUUUUGUAAAUCUCCUCCCAAGAAGUAAAGAGCCCAUUUAUUGAUAUUAAAGAGGACAGGAAGCGGUGGUGAGGAUCUGGCCGCUGGCAGUGGCAGUGAGAGUGGAAAAUAGGAAGCAGAGUUGAGAGCAAUUAUGGCGGAAGUGCUGACGGAAGCGGGUGGGUGACUGGGAGAGGAACUGAAGGGAAACCAGAAAUCUGGGUGACACCCCUGGAUUUCCAGCCUAAGUAAGCAGGCGCCAUGGCUAGAAAUGAGACGGUGUGGAUGGCACUUAGCUUGGAGGAGAUCAUUUCCUCUUAGACCUGGUGUGUUUGCGAUGGUGACAGUCAUCCAAGAGAGACUGAAGUCAAGGGAAAGGCUGGGGCUCCAGGAGGCUGUGGGUUUAGGACUCACCCUCACCCCCAGGUCAGGUCAGGUGCCCCCUGUGGGUUCCCAUGGCCUCCGUGUCCCUUCCCGAGGGAUGGCUUCCGGACCAUAGUGACAUGAAGUGUCCACAACCCUCUUCCUCCCCGGACCACAGCCUCCAGGAGGUAGGUGCCCAGCUGUCCCGUCAGCAUUCCGCUCCCAGUGCCUAGAUCAACCAACGCCCAGUGCACAGAAGGCCUAUGACGCAUGUCUGGGAAGUGGGGGACCCGAGCCCUCUGUGGUGACAGCUCAAGUCGAUGAGAGGUUGGAACACCCAAGGGGGAGAAUGAGACAAGCAGGCCUGAAACUUGGGAAACACUUCACUGAAGUGUGGGCGGGAGCAAAACAGAUGCAAAACAAGAACAAUGCAACCUUCCUGAAACCAAGGUCGGGGGAGGGUUGCAAAAUAGAAAAGAGGACAGUCAGUGACUCGGGGGUGGGGGGGGCAGCACUAGGGGAGGCAGGACUGGAAAAAAAAUUCAUCCAUUGCAAGGUUACUGAAGAUUCAGGGGAGAAUGAUCUCCAGAAGAAAAUAAAUCCAAUGGAAAGCACAACCGCAUCUUCAGCAGGGUGGGGAAGAGGUAAGAUAACAGAGCUCAAGGAGAAGCUGGGUCAGGGUAGGACCUGGGCCAGAUGCGUUAGUACCAGGAGGCAAAGCGUCCAGGCCGCAGCAGGGGCUGGCUUGCAGGGAUGACCUCGUAGGAGGCAGAAGGAUUACCGCUGAGACGGACGAGGAAAGUGCGCCGGCCCUCUCUAAAGCCCUGAACCACACAAUGUGGCUCAAUUACACAUUCGUAUUUUCACAGACCACCCUGCCAUUCACUGCAGAUCAGUCAGGGACAGGUGGCUGAGCUCGGCUGCUGCUUCAGUGAAGGCGUUUGCAGAUCCCCGGGCUGCCCUUGGCAUGAAGACUGAUCUAGGACUGGCCUGGCUGGAUCCCAGGGUGCACACUAAGGACCUUUCUGAGAAUGGUGUGUCCCUGCUGCCAGACUUUGCCAGAAUCACUCAGGGAGCCGCCACCAAGGCCAGGAAUGAGUCUCCAGAUGGGAAGCUGACUCAGAACUGACCUGCCAAGGCAGCUUCAGGCUUUGGCUCAGCCUGUCCUGCUCCCGACCCACGCUGGAGCUGCUGAGACUGGAACAGUCCCAGAACCUGUGUGAUGAACUCAGGACUCCUAUCGAUCGAGCUGGCAACUGCUAAGCAGCUAAAAUGCUAAAUGUCACUCCAGAGGGUGGCAGGAUGGAGGAGAAGGGCCUUGCCUUUGCCCUGCAUCCCCACACUUCCAGACAAAUCAUUAACAUCCCUCCACACAUCAUUCCUACCGUGCCUUCUGCUGAAUUUGACCUUGUUGCUUACAAGCAUUUUGCAAGAGAAGAGAUCAACUGUGCCCAUUUAGCACCUUUCUUCUUAAGAUUGAGGACGUUUAUGCUGACAUUUAAAAAUAUGUUCGAAACAUAUUCACAAACUUUACCAAAGAUUUUCCCACACUGAGCUAUUUUCAAAAGGGAUGCGAACGUGACCAUAAGCUUUUCUUCAGCAACGAGCUUAGAUUUCCAAGCUACACUCGCCAUCAGUUACUUUCCAGCAAGAAAAAAAUGAACACGUGGAAAUUCUACGAGUGUUUUGGGGACACUGGGGUCCAUUUAAUAUAUUGAAGCAAUAAUUUAUCAGAUAGGACCCAAGGGUCCAGAUAGCCUCUCGAGCCCUUUCACAUAUGCUAAAUUACACCCCCAAGACCAGUCUAGGAACUUAGAAUCUUCACCAUUAAUUAAAGAAAUGGAUUGGACCGUCCUAACACAAAAGAACACCCUGCAAGUAGGAAAAAUUCAUGUAAACACUGUCAUUGCAAAAUGAAUCAAACCCAACAUGUGUGAUUCAACAUAAUUGCUAACUAGCUUUCAACAGGUGUGGGACCCUUCCCUCAUUUUAAUUUAGUCAAACACUAGACUGCUCUGACAAGUUGUGACCAAAGAAAAACACUGCAGAGAAGAAUUCUUACUAAACAUUAAGAUUUUAAGGCUUGCAGGCAAAGAACAAAUCUAUCCGUGGAACAUUUCAUAUCCAGGAGACUAGUCUAAGCAUCAAAGAGCUAAGAUUUUAAUGCUGCCAAACUAGCCAGGAAUUGCCAAGUAUUAUACGAAAUUCAUAUGCGCACUAAAAAAAUGCUCCCUGUUUAUAAACAAUCUUUCAUAUGUGUUGGAAGGAAAAGCACUAAGUGACAAUUAGUUGGCUGACUUCUGCAAUCUGUCAUUAAUUGCUAUUUUCAAGUUAAAAUUAUUCCAUUCAAUGUUAUUCUCAGUGUUCUACAUCAAACCGAUUUACAAGAAAGUUGUUACUUCUCAGUGAGAUGUCAAAUAAUUUACCUGGUCCCACUGACAAAGGAUUUAACUCUUUGUAAACAUUUAAGCACUUUUUCCUUUCUCAUGUAAACAUUUUAGAUCAAUGGGCCUCUCUUAUUCACUGCUUGCUAAUUUUAAAACGUAUAUUCACUUUUUUAUUUAAAAAAAAAUAAUAAGCCCAUCUCCUCUCUUCCCAUCCUCAUCUCCAGCCACCCCCCCACCCCCCAGUGAAUCCAGUUUUUUACAGCUAGACUUUGUAGGUUUAGGUCUAAGGUCUCCGAACAAAGAUCAGCCCUGAUUAAAACACACAGGCUUGAAAACUUUUAUGUUUGGUCUCUAUACAGGUUUCAACCAUAGGGAAUGUAGCUGUAGGCUCAAAUUAUGUCAGUCAACACGAGGCAAAUAGUAAUCAAGGAUAUUUAAUGCGGGCUCAUCCAAAAGUGCCUUCUUGUGGACAACAAACAGAAAAGUACUAUAGCUAUGGGAUCUGGGACAGGGAUGAACCCAUCGAUUCACUAUUCCCCAAGCACUGAAAUGUGUUUCAUGAUGAUUUUUCCCUCAAGUUUCUGGAAAGAACACAAAAACACACUGCACAAAGAAUCUGCAAUCAGAGAGCAAUUUACAAAAAAUUCUGCACUUCCAGAGAAAUCACGCAAGUACGGAGGCCCGGUAUAAUAAAGGUUUAUGGCAAUAGUAGCUCCCACCUGAAACACACAAAUAACUCCUCCUGAUAUUCCAGGUUUUAGACAAAUGAACUAUCAGUGACCAGGGGAAAAAAAAAAAAAAAAAACUCAGAUUUUACGAAGCAGUGUAUUUAAAAAUUCAGACCAGUUUCUGAGUUUCUUCCAUCUAACAACAUACCCCAGAGUUUAAUAUACUUACUCUCCGGUCUGGGUCCUGGCUUUCUGGUUUUGCAUGGGGUCUGUAGAAUGUACAGAUGGUAAUAAUCUGUGGCUUCCUUCAAAUCUUGACGACUGCUGCUUUUAUUCUCUUGAUUUCCUUUGGUGCCAAAGAUGUCGUUCUAGUGCAGAGUUACCACAUGUUACGUGAAACUGCUGUCAACGUUUUAUUACAUUCAGCAUUUCAGGUUUCCUGAUAGCUAACUCCAGCAUUAAAGAUAGCCAUGCUCUGUAUAUUGUUCAAUCCUCUUUCUCUUUUUUUCCCCCUCCCUGGAAGGGUACUUGGGCACUCCUUAAGUAGCCCGGAGAUUUCAAACUGUAUGUUUCCAGACCACAUUAAAAUAAAUACUAAUGCAAGUCAUUUCUACCUUCAGACAUUUCUUUCCAUCCCGGCUUGCUCCGGCAGCAUUAAUUUUCCCACACUCUCCUAGGAUGGUGAAGGCUUGUCUGGACAAGUAAGAUAACACUUGGGCAGGAGAUUAAAAGCCCACACUGAAGUCAUUAAGUACCUACAGGGCUGGGCCCUGAAUCCACUCAGCACGGUCUCCGAACACCGU